AUGCACACCGUCAAGGAGGAGUUUCAAGUUCUUGACUCAAAUUCUAAAGGCGCAAUUAGCCAAAGAAUUCACAAUAUGAUUGCCACCCUGGCCAACUCAACUCUUGAAUCAAAAAAAUUUCCAGAUGUCUCAUCGUGGCCAAUUAAUGAGUAUAAAAUGCCGAGACAAAACGAUGGAGUGUCUUGUGAACUUUUUGUGAUGUGGUGCAUAAAAUACUGGAACGGAGAUCGCUGGACACAUGAAUUUGACCAGAAAGAGAUUAAUGAGUCAAGGCCACGUAUUGUCGCGGAAAUUAUUUUUUUAGAGGUGAACAAAUUAGAGAAGGUCAAGAUGAAAAUUGUUAAAAUCAUAGAGAACGAAUAG
This 363-nucleotide ribosomal RNA is filed under the name Triticum aestivum (bread wheat). RNAcentral's name for it is "partial small subunit ribosomal RNA". The record is from RNAcentral. Lineage: Eukaryota; Viridiplantae; Streptophyta; Magnoliopsida; Poales; Poaceae.